RNAcentral lists this long non-coding RNA (730 nucleotides) under Neogale vison (American mink). Its description in RNAcentral is "Neovison vison (American mink) lncRNA (ENSNVIG00000018921.1)". The record is from RNAcentral. Lineage: Eukaryota; Metazoa; Chordata; Mammalia; Carnivora; Mustelidae.
CAGAGGAUGUUACCGGGCACCCGCACCGUUGCAAGCGCGUCACACGAGCUCGGUCGCAGACAUACCAGCUAGACUGCUUCCAUUUCCGUUGGACAGAGGGGAGGUGGAGAUGCUGAGUAGCUCGUCCCGGUUACUGAGCCCGUGAGCGGCUCAGCUGAGUUCCAGCCCAGUCAGGGGGAAACUUUGUCUUCAGUCACAUGAAGUAGCUGACCGCCGUUAGCUGCGUGAGCAUCUCAGCGGGGCGGCCGGGCUCCAGGAGGACGGCAGGAAAGCCACUCUCCCGAUCGAGUGAGUCACUCCGCGUUUGGUUUCCCAGUGCGCGGAAGGCUGACGCCCGUGCCACACUGUUGUCUGAUUAGCCUACCAUGGCCGACCAGAGACAGCGCUCACUCUCUACCUCUGGGGAAUCACUGUACCAUGUUCUGGGGCUGGACAAGAAUGCAACCUCAGACGACAUUAAAAAGUCCUAUCGGUAAGAGGGUCUUGUGCCUCGUGUGGUUUGACCUGCAUUUACCAGGAGCCCCUGCGUGUGUCUCCCCCCACUCGGCCCGCAGGUGACUGGGACCCGGAGCUCCGUCUUUGUGAGCGUCAUGUGCCCCCUUGUAGCUUAAAAUUCUCAUAUUGGUAUUUUUGUGGCAACAGAAAAGUAGCACUUUGUAGAUGAUACACACUAUGCGCCCUGGAGCGGCCGGUCACCCCGGGAAGCGGGUCUGAGCCGGCUCCUCCCGGC